This 253-nucleotide ribosomal RNA is filed under the name uncultured bacterium. RNAcentral's name for it is "partial 16S ribosomal RNA". It matches the Rfam family "Bacterial small subunit ribosomal RNA", at positions 524 to 776 of the family's 1533-position model. The record is from RNAcentral.
UACGUAGGGUGCGAGCGUUGUCCGGAAUUAUUGGGCGUAAAGGGCUCGUAGGCGGUUUGUCACGUCGGGAGUGAAAACUCGGGGCUUAACCCCGAGCCUGCUUCCGAUACGGGCUGACUAGAGGUAUGCAGGGGAGAACGGAAUUCCUGGUGUAGCGGUGAAAUGCGCAGAUAUCAGGAGGAACACCGGUGGCGAAGGCGGCAUCCUGGACCAACACUGACGCUGAGGAGCGAAAGCCAGGGGAGCAAACGGG